GUUUUUCGUAAACCGCCUAAGCUACUGAGUCACCCUGCUUGGGGAAAAACAUAACAAUUUCCGGAUAACGAACUUAAGACCAGGAAGUUCAAAAAUCUCAAUGAAAUGCUUUCUUUAUAAUGCACACCAUGGUGUUGCUGAACGCAGUGCAGAGUUUUGUCAAUACCCUUGCCACACUUUUAUGGUAGAGUGCCUACUAGGGGACCACACCACGUAAAAGUUCGCCACCUUCCUUCCAGAGGUUUUAGUGAUGAACCAUUCACAAAUACAUGUACAUUAUGUAUAUAAAAUUGUAAACAGAUGAUCCGAAGAAUCUUCUUGCAUCAUAUUAUUGUAUCUUAUUACGAGAACCUUAUUGUAUGUUAUUAUGAUAAUUUUAUUGUAUCUUUUUAUGAUAAGAAGACGUCUUAAGUUCCCUAAAUGUGUUGCGUGAAAGAUUGAUAAAAUUAGGUUAUUCAAAUAUUUGAUAAAACCAAUUGAAACUUAUGUCUUGAUUCAAACAUUUAUGAAAAUAAGUUUAAAAGACGUGUAUUAACAAGAAUUAGCCAAAAUAAUUUGAGUUUAAAUCAAGCAAUAAGCGAUUUAUAUGAUUUUUAGCGUUAAAAUAGAUGGGUAUCCCCGAAUUUCAGAAGAACUGCUUCCGUGAAACAAAAUAAAUUUAGCAUGAACAUGUUCCUCGAGUUUUCCACUAAAAAACUGUCGCUUUGAAAUUUUGUUUUCAAAUUCACCUGUAGGUUAAUCUUCCAUAGGAAGUUAUGAUCUACUGCGGGAUUCAGUGGAUAAGCUUGGAGAAUUUAAUAUGUGAAGAAGGUGUCUUUUUAACGACGGGGUUCGAAUCCCUCAUGGACACAAGAUUUUUUUUUUUCAUAUUACGUUUUCCAUCUACAUUUUUUGCUUAAUUGAAACACACUUCAAGUCUUUGUGAAUGUUUCCUGUCAUUUCUCUGUUUGUUACAAUGUGCCGAGAUUGAAAUAAACUUCCAACCUGGA
Molecule: long non-coding RNA, 989 nt
Organism: Ostrea edulis (European flat oyster)
Lineage: Eukaryota; Metazoa; Mollusca; Bivalvia; Ostreida; Ostreidae
Exons: 3
Source: RefSeq, a predicted model, not a curated record